GGGGAUGUAGCUCAGUUGGGAGAGCGCCACGUUCGCAACGUGGAGGUCGGGGGUUCGAAUCCCCCCAUCUCCA
RNAcentral lists this transfer RNA (73 nucleotides) under Thermodesulfatator indicus DSM 15286. It matches the Rfam family "tRNA". From Rfam's summary of the family: Transfer RNA (tRNA) molecules are approximately 80 nucleotides in length. Their secondary structure includes four short double-helical elements and three loops (D, anti-codon, and T loops). Lineage: Bacteria; Pseudomonadati; Thermodesulfobacteriota; Thermodesulfobacteria; Thermodesulfobacteriales; Thermodesulfatatoraceae. The record is from Rfam by way of RNAcentral.